Molecule: ribosomal RNA, 503 nt
Filed under: uncultured eukaryote
Lineage: Eukaryota
Description: SSU rRNA
Rfam family: Eukaryotic small subunit ribosomal RNA
Source: RNAcentral
AACUUCAGGCUUGGUUGAUUGGUCCGCCUCACGGUGUGUACUGUUCGACCGAGCCUUACCUCUUGGUGAGCCAGCAUGCCGUUUAUUCGGUGUGUUGGGGAACCAGGAUUUUUACUUUGAAAAAAUUAGAGUGUUCAAAGCAGGCCUAUGCCCGAAUACAUUAGCAUGGAAUAAUAGAAUAGGACGUGCGGUUCUAUUUUGUUGGUUUCUAGGAUUGCCGUAAUGAUUAAUAGUGAUAGUUGGGGGCAUUAGUAUUCAGUUGCUAGAGGUGAAAUUCUUGGAUUUACUGAAGACUAACUACUGCGAAAGCAUUUGCCAAGGAUGUUUUCAUUAAUCAAGAACGAAGGUUAGGGGAUCGAAAACGAUCAGAUACCGUCGUAGUCUUAACUAUAAACUAUACCGACUCGGGAUCGGCUGGAAUAAAUGUCCAGUCGGCACCGUAUGAGAAAUCAAAGUCUUUGGGUUCUGGGGGAAGUAUGGUACGCAAGUCUGAAACUUAAAGG